Molecule: ribosomal RNA, 253 nt
Filed under: uncultured bacterium
Lineage: Bacteria
Description: partial 16S ribosomal RNA
Rfam family: Archaeal small subunit ribosomal RNA
Source: RNAcentral
UACCAGCACCCCGAGUGGGCGGGACGAUUAUUGGGCCUAAAGCAUCCGUAGCCGGUCCUACAAGUCUUCCGUUAAAUCCACCUGCUUAACAGAUGGGCUGCGGAAGAUACUAUAGGGCUAGGAGGCGGGAGAGGCAAGCGGUACUCAGUGGGUAGGGGUAAAAUCCUCUGAUCCAUUGAAGACCACCAGUGGCGAAGGCGGCUUGCCAGAACGCGCUCGACGGUGAGGGAUGAAAGCUGGGGGAGCAAACCGG